UUUUUUUCAAAAUUUUUUUUUUUUGAGAUUAAUUGUGAAUUUUUAAUCAUUCAUGUUCUGUCUGUUUGCUUGGUUUUUUGGAGCUAACGAGUACCCUAAUUUUUUGACUUUCAAUUUCAGGUGGCCAACAUAUCGGAGGUUGUACAGGUAUUUUCUUUAUAAGUUGCCUUUGAUCUUAUCUUUUAUCUCACUGUAAUAUGGAUAUUUGCAGUUCAUGGGAUAUUUCCAAAAGCAACAUGCACUGAUUUAAUUCUCCCUUUAUGACUGUGUGCUUAUGAUUUUAAUAUCGCUUCUUUUUAUACUGGCAUUUUAUCUUUCACCAGCUUCCCCCCUUUUUUUUCCCUGUUCUAUUUCUUUUCCUUUUUCCUUGAUGUAGGAGAGGUUGAGGGGCCAACAUACAAAUGCUUUUAUGAUGGGCAAAUUGAAAGCAAUUUGUGAUUUUUAGGGUUUUGAUUUAAAGAACAAGGGGAGCUAGGGCUAAAGAGUUUGAGUUAGAGUUGAUCGAAAGGCAAAGAGGAGAAAUUGUUGGUUGUUUUGAAUAUGGGAAUAGCACCUGAAGCAUUGUAGAUGCAGCAUGGGGAAAGAAGAGGAAAGAAAGGGGAGAUACAGAUAGAUGAAUUAGAUACCUUGAAGCUUUAUCGGAAAGGAGAACUUGAACCGUUGUUGUCGGAAGCUAAGUCUAAGAGCUCACAGGGCUAGAAUCCUUGUCAUAUGUUGCUGUUGUUGAGAAAGCUGUUUCCCUUGCGAAUUUUGAGCUUCUUAAGAAGAUAGGCAACAUGUCUGCUUCUUCAGAAUCUGAACAGCAUUUUUAACUUCAUUGACGUGGUUUUACGUUCAACUCCUUUAUAUUGAUAUCUUCUGUUGAAUUAUAUGUUGAACUCUUAACGUUGGUUGCUAUAAUAUUUAAAAACACGUAAAAAUGUACUCUCUAUUGUACUAAACUAAUGAUUUGUAUUCCAUUUUCUGGUCUUAACACUUCAUUCCUUUUUUUACCUGUUAAUGUUUAACUCACUCUAUAUCUGUGUGUAUUUGUUUCUUGUUGCAUGUGAAGUUGUGGAACUUAUGUUGGGCAAGUGUAGAAGGGAGAUAAUGAAAAGCUACUUUCAAGUUCCAUGAUUGUCUUUGCCGUUGGAAAUAUCACUUGGGAAUGGCCUUGCCCUGAGAAAAGAAAGAGCUCAGAAAUGGCAUCUCAGAAGAUAGAUUCAAUCAGUUGCUUGAAAAAUAUUAUUGAUGUCAAGAAUUGGGGACUGAAUCAAGUUCUAAUACUUUUACAAUUUUAGACCUAAUGUACUGUACAUAAUUAAUGAAAUUAACUCUUUUAUCUUUUAAUAUGGAAUAAUGGAAAACACUUGACACAUUUGAAGUCAUUAUUCAAGCACAA
RNAcentral lists this unclassified non-coding RNA (1381 nucleotides) under Hevea brasiliensis (rubber tree). Lineage: Eukaryota; Viridiplantae; Streptophyta; Magnoliopsida; Malpighiales; Euphorbiaceae. The record is from RNAcentral.